AUUGAACGCUGGCGGCAGGCCUAACACAUGCAAGUCGAGCGGAUGAAGGGAGCUUGCUCCUGGAUUCAGCGGCGGACGGGUGAGUAAUGCCUAGGAAUCUGCCUGGUAGUGGGGGAUAACGUCCGGAAACGGGCGCUAAUACCGCAUACGUCCUGAGGGAGAAAGUGGGGGAUCUUCGGACCUCACGCUAUCAGAUGAGCCUAGGUCGGAUUAGCUAGUUGGUGGGGUAAAGGCCUACCAAGGCGACGAUCCGUAACUGGUCUGAGAGGAUGAUCAGUCACACUGGAACUGAGACACGGUCCAGACUCCUACGGGAGGCAGCAGUGGGGAAUAUUGGACAAUGGGCGAAAGCCUGAUCCAGCCAUGCCGCGUGUGUGAAGAAGGUCUUCGGAUUGUAAAGCACCUUAAGUUGGGAGGAAGGGCAGUAAGUUAAUACCUUGCUGUUUUGACGGUACCAACAGAAUAAGCACCGGCUAACUUCGUG
RNAcentral lists this ribosomal RNA (484 nucleotides) under uncultured bacterium. Its description in RNAcentral is "partial 16S ribosomal RNA". It matches the Rfam family "Bacterial small subunit ribosomal RNA", at positions 30 to 507 of the family's 1533-position model. The record is from RNAcentral.